RNAcentral lists this ribosomal RNA (476 nucleotides) under uncultured bacterium. RNAcentral describes it as "bacterial SSU rRNA". It matches the Rfam family "Bacterial small subunit ribosomal RNA", at positions 335 to 799 of the family's 1533-position model. The record is from RNAcentral.
ACUCCUACGGGAGGGCAGCAGUAGGGAAUCUUCCACAAUGGGCGCAAGCCUGAUGGAGCAACACCGCGUGAGUGAAGAAGGGUUUCGGCUCGUAGAGCUCUGUUGUUUAAAGAAGAACACGUAUGAGAGUAACUGUUCAUACGUUGACGGUAUUUAACCAGAAAGUCACGGCUAACUACGUGCCAGCAGCCGCGGUAAUACGUAGGUGGCAAGCGUUAUCCGGAUUUAUUGGGCGUAAAGAGAGUGCAGGCGGUUUUCUAAGUCUGAUGUGAAAGCCUUCGGCUUAACCGGAGAAGUGCAUCGGAAACUGGAUAACUUGAGUGCAGAAGAGGGUAGUGGAACUCCAUGUGUAGCGGUGGAAUGCGUAGAUAUAUGGAAGAACACCAGUGGCGAAGGCGGCUACCUGGUCUGCAACUGACGCUGAGACUCGAAAGCGAUGGGUAGCGAACAGGAUUAGAUACCCUGGUAGGAUAGCG